CGGAGGUGAAGCUCACCUGGGCCCUCUCCAGCAGGUGUGCCCAGGUCACCUGAUCAGGAGUCCCCAGCUGCUGCUCUGCCUGGAGACAGGCCGACGGCUCUGGAAGGAGGGAGGCAUUUUAAGCGGCGGGUCUGCGGUGCCAGGGGGAGUCACGGGAUAGCUAGUGUGUCUCUGGCUCUGUUCUCAAAGCCCAGGAUCCCGGCAGCAGCAGGAAUGCAGCACACUUAUGCGUGAAGACGAGAUCUUUCGAGCUGACUGGAGCAGUUUGGUCAGAACAGAAUCUCUGUAUGGAAUGUGCAAGACCUUCUUCCCCAUAGCUGCGUCAGCCAGAACACUGAAAGAAAAAGAAGAUUCAAGACAGAAAAAGAAUGCCUCAAGAAGAAAUCCACCUCCCGUGGGAUGAGUUGGAAAUGGCUCCCACAUCCCCUCUUUGGCCCCAUAAGCCUGACGAUCAUAUCCAACAGUAGAGAUGCCUUCUGUCAUCGAUGCUGGAGUAAGCUAGCUAACCACGGGCCUGACUCCUCCGAAAUCAACCGUAGAGAAGCCAUAACCUAGAGGAGGAAGCCCAGGUCUGAGGAACAAACACACCCACACCUGCGAGGAAAACUCGAAGAGCCUGCAGGCUACCAUAGUUUGUGUGUAGAGAAUGAGCUGCAAUUCAAGGAAGGAGGUGCCAGGCCUGACAGUGUGCAGAUAGGUUUGGGGGGUAGUUUUAGGGUCUUUUCUUGCCUCUCUCUCUCAUGCUGCCUUAAGAUCCCAUAAAGUUAGGACCACAGCCUCAGGAUAGGGGUGAGUGAGAAGCCCCUGCCCUGCUCCAGGGGCCACAAAGAAAGCAGUGUUGGCACUGAAGAGAGCGGGGAAGAGUGCAGGGAAAUCCCACCCGUGAGAAAUUAUAACCACAAACAGGACGGGCACGGUGGCUCAGCCUGUAAUCCUGUAAUCCCGGCACUUCAGGAGGCUGAGGUGGGCAGAUCACUUGUGGUCAGGAGUUCAAGACCAGCCUGGCCAACAUGAUGAAACCCCGUCUCUACUAAAAAUACAAAAAAAUUAGCCGGGCGUGGUGGUGCGUACCUGUAGUCCCAGCUACUCGGGAGGCUGAGGCAGGAGAAUCCUUUGAACCCAGGAGGCGGAGGUUGCAGUGAGCCAAGAUUGUGCCAUUGCAUUCCAGCCUGGGUAGGGACUCCGUCACAAAAAAAAAAAAAAAAAAAAAAAUCACUACUCCAUAAAGUCAUGAAGGCCAAGGGCUUCCAAAGAGGAGGAAAAGAAAUAGGUUUACACUCGGAUGCAACAACAUAGUGAAACUGGAGAACACCAAAAACAAAGAGAAAAACUUAAAAGCAGCUGGGGAAAAAAGACAGAUUAUCUUCAAGAAAAAGCAGUUAGACAACCAGUUGACAAUAGAAUUCUUUCUGUGUGGAAAGAAACUACUACCCAUCUAAAAUUCCAUACCCAGCAAAAAUGUCUUUUUAAGAAUGAGCCGGCUGGGCGCGGAGGCUCACAUUUGCAAUCCCAGCACUUUGGGAGACCAAGACGGGAGCAUAGCUUGAGCUUAGGAGUUUGAGACCAGCCUGGGCACCGUGGAGAAACCCUGUCUCUACAAAAAAAUACAAAAAUCAUCUGGAUGUGGUGGAACACGCCUGUGGUCCCAGCUACUUGGGAGGCUGAGGUGAGAGGAUUGCUUGAGCCUGGUGGGGUAGAGGCUGGAGUGAGCUGUGAUUGUACCACUGCACUCCAGCUUGGGUGACAGAGUGAGACCCUGUCUCAAAAAAAUAAAUGAGGUAAAAAUAAAGAUAUUUCAACCUAACAAAAACAGAUUGCCACCAGCAGAUUAUCACUAAAGGAAACCCUGAAUAAUACACUUCAACCAGAAGGAAACUGAUCUUGGAUAGCAGCUCUGAGGUACAAGAAUGAAUACAUUUAAAAAAAGAUAAAUGUGAAUGAACACUGUGUAAAACAGUGAUAAUGUCUUUUGGGUGAAGGAAGAAUGGAAUUGAAAUACAUAAGAAAGAAAUACAUAACAAUGACAUAUGUAGGAUGAAGAGUCUUGUAUUAUCCAGGAGGAUUUAUUACAUUUAGACUUUGACCACAGAUUUAAGAGCCAAGAAACAGAGUUAAGUAUAUAUUAGCCGGGCACAGUGGCUCACACCUGUAAUCCCAGCACUUUGGCAGGCCGAGGAGGGAGAAUCACUUGAGCCCAGGAGUUCGAGAUCAACCUGGGCAACGUGGUGAAACCCCAUCUCUACAAAAGCUACAAAAAUUAGCUGGGCAUGGUGGUGCACGCUGUAAUCCCAGCUACUCAGAAGGCCGAGGCGGGAAGAUCGGUUGAGCCUGGAAGGCAGAGGUUGUAGUGAAUGGAGUUCGCGCCAUUGCACUCCAGUCUGGGUGACAGAGCAAGACUCUGUCUCAAAAAAAAAAAAGCGAAAAGCAUAUAGACGAUCACUGGGGGAAGGAGGGACUACUCAACAAAUGAAACUGGAAAGAUUGGUAAUCUAUAAGGAAAAAGGAUGAAAAGGAUGCCUACCUUACAUCAAACACAGAAAUCAACUCCGGACCGAUAGGAACUUAAUGUAAUAUAGGUGGUUACCUUUCUAACUCUAAUUUUCUUAAACAGGAAACAAAUGCAAAGCAUAAACCAUAAUCAUAACUUCUGCUCAUCAGCAAACACCUUAAAGUGGAAAGACAAGCUACUAACUGGGAGAGAUACUUACAAUACUUUUACUUGAGAAAAGAAUAAUAUGUAAAGAAUGCCUACAAGCCAAUACAAAGGCAAUGACUCAAGAGAAUAAUAGAAAAAAAUAACAGGCAUUGCAAGAGGAAAUAUAUUGCUAAGAAACACAUAAAGAUGCUUAAACUCGUUAGUAACCAGGAAUAUCAAGACCAUAGUAAGAUUUAUUUGCACCAAUUUAAUUGGUAAAUAUAAAGAAAUCUGAUAACAUCAAGUCUUAGAAAAGAUGUAGAUCAAUCCGAUAUCUAAUACAUUGCUGCUGGGAAUGUAAAUUGGUCCAACUAUUUUGGAAAAGUUUGUUAACAUCUUUCCAAAUUGGGUAUUCAU
RNAcentral lists this long non-coding RNA (3052 nucleotides) under Homo sapiens (human). Its description in RNAcentral is "HSALNT0025395". The record is from RNAcentral. Lineage: Eukaryota; Metazoa; Chordata; Mammalia; Primates; Hominidae.